UCUGUGGCUGGCUCUGUUUUCAGAUGACUUCCAGAGUGUGUUCAGGCUCAGGCCUUUUUUGUGCUCUCUGCUCUCUCUGUGUUCGCUCUUUCUCUUUUCAGUCUCUGUUUAUCAGGGACUGUUUUGGUAGGAGCUGGUUGAAGAGUAGACCUGGCAGGAGAACGGCAGAACUGGAUUUGAACUAAAGAAUAAGAAAGGAGGGGAAGAAGAGAAGAGAAAAAACAUCGAAAAGAGAAGUGCAGAGAGAAGAGAGGAGUUUGGAACACGUAGGUCUUCCAUCUUAAGAGGAGAGAAAUCUGAGGAACCAACGUCGUUGGAAAGACAGAGAGCGACUGAAAGCAACAAGGUGGCUGAGUCACCGUUUGUCUUAUUAAUGAGGACACGGAGAUGGUCUAUGUUCAGUGGUCUUUAUGUGGCCCAGCCAGAUUGCGGACUUGAACCUGAUCAAACAUCUAUGGAGAG
Molecule: long non-coding RNA, 462 nt
Organism: Oncorhynchus gorbuscha (pink salmon)
Lineage: Eukaryota; Metazoa; Chordata; Actinopteri; Salmoniformes; Salmonidae
Exons: 3
Source: RefSeq, a predicted model, not a curated record